This 600-nucleotide ribosomal RNA is filed under the name uncultured bacterium. Its description in RNAcentral is "bacterial SSU rRNA". It matches the Rfam family "Bacterial small subunit ribosomal RNA", at positions 90 to 707 of the family's 1533-position model. The record is from RNAcentral.
UGAGAGUGGCGCACGGGUGCGUACACGUAUGCACUACUUUAACUGGGGAAUAGCUCACCGAAAGGUGAAUUAAUACCGCAUAACAUUAUGAAGUAGCAUUACUUUAUAAUUAAACUUUCGAGGGGUAAAGAUGGGCAUGCGUCCGAUUAGCUAGUUGGCGGGGUAACAGCCCACCAAGGCUACGAUCGGUAGGGGUCUGAAGGAUGAUCCCCCACACUGGUACUGAGACAGGUACCAGACUCAUACGGGAGGCAGCAGUAAGGAAUAUUGGACAAUGGAGGAAACUCUGAUCCAGCCAUGCCGGUGAAGGAUUAAGGCCUAUGGGUUGUAAACUUCUUUUAUACGGGACAAAAACCCCUCUACGUGUAGGGGGUUGAUGGUACUGUAAGAAUAAGGGUCGGUAACUUCGUACCAGCAGCCGGGUAAUACGAAGGACCCAAGGUUAUCCGGAUUUAUUGGGUUUAAAGGGUGCGUAGUGGACUUAUAAGUCAGUGGUGAAAGCUGUUGGUUACAAGAACUGCCAUUGAUACUGUAGGUCUUGAGUACAGUUGAGGUGGGCGGAAUGUGUCAAGUACGGUGAAAUGCUUAUUUGACCAAAAC